Molecule: ribosomal RNA, 440 nt
Filed under: uncultured bacterium
Lineage: Bacteria
Description: bacterial SSU rRNA
Rfam family: Bacterial small subunit ribosomal RNA
Source: RNAcentral
AGCGAACGCUGGCGGCAGGCCUAAUACAUGCAAGUCGAACGGCAGCACGGGGGCAACCCUGGUGGCGAGUGGCGAACGGGUGAGUAAUGCAUCGGAGCGUGCCCAGUAGUGGGGGGAUAGCCCGGCGAAAGCCGGAUUAAUACCGCAUACGUACUGAGGUAGAAAGCGGGGGACCGAAAGGCCUCGCGCUAUUGGAGCGGCCGAUGUCGGAUUAGCUUGUUGGUGGGGUAAUGGCCUACCAAGGCGACGAUCCGUAACUGGUCUGAGAGGACGACCAGUCACACUGGGACUGAGACACGGCCCAGACUCCUACGGGAGGCAGCAGUGGGGAAUUUUGGACAAUGGGCGAAAGCCUGAUCCAGCAAUGCCGCGUGUGUGAAGAAGGCCUUCGGGUUGUAAGCACUUUGUCCGGUAAAGGAAAUACCGUCUGGCUAAUACCC